GUGUUCACUUUGGCAGCACAUAUACUAAAAUUGGAAAGAUAGAGAGAUUAGCAUGGCCCCUGCGCAAGGAUGACACGCAAAUUCAUGAAGUGUUCCAUACGUAA
RNAcentral lists this small nuclear RNA (104 nucleotides) under Myotis davidii. Lineage: Eukaryota; Metazoa; Chordata; Mammalia; Chiroptera; Vespertilionidae. The record is from RNAcentral.